AGCAGCAACUGUCCCAUCUUGGCUUAUCUUGCAAAGCUAAGCAGGAUCAGACCUGGUUAGCAUUUGGAUGGGAGACCACCCGGAAACCCCAGAAUUCCAGUUU
Molecule: ribosomal RNA, 103 nt
Filed under: Salvator merianae (Argentine black and white tegu)
Lineage: Eukaryota; Metazoa; Chordata; Lepidosauria; Squamata; Teiidae
Source: RNAcentral